AGCAGAGCAGAGCAGAGCAGAGCAGAGCAGAGCAGGCCAUAGUCGUGUGAUACGCUUUGAAUAAUUAUUUUGAAGAGCAAACUUGCUGAAUGUUGGGGCGUUUGCUGCCUGUGCCUUUUUAUGAACAAAUUAAACCAAAUCUGCAAAACCAACUCCUCCCUUUUCUUCCCUCAAAUGUCCAGCCAGACUACACCUCUUGUUCCAAAGAUUCUCCCUCAGAAGAACCUUCCUUCCUUCGACAGUUUUGAUUAGCUUCAGGAUUUUUGGAAUGCAUGUUCUUUAUUCGUACUACAUGGAACAUUACCAAUAGCAACUCUUAAGUGUAUGAGACAACAGUGAAUUAUUGUAUGCAUAUUUAACAAAUUUACAGAACAAGUAAAAUUUGUUUUGAAUAUUAGAUUCAUACAUCAGCAGUGAAACCUGAUUGUAGUCCUUCAAGAUAUUGUACUUAAUUCUUAACAGAUUUAUUCGGUAAUUAUUUGUAAACAAUUGUGUGUUAAGAGAUGUGAAUUAAACACAUUGUCAUUACAGAACAGGACAGGAGAAUAAGGCUAAAAUGAA
Macrobrachium nipponense is the source of this 561-nucleotide long non-coding RNA. RefSeq lists it as uncharacterized. The record is from RefSeq and is a predicted model, not a curated record. Lineage: Eukaryota; Metazoa; Arthropoda; Malacostraca; Decapoda; Palaemonidae. The transcript is spliced from 3 exons.